RNAcentral lists this ribosomal RNA (466 nucleotides) under uncultured bacterium. RNAcentral describes it as "partial 16S ribosomal RNA". It matches the Rfam family "Bacterial small subunit ribosomal RNA", at positions 28 to 507 of the family's 1533-position model. The record is from RNAcentral.
GAUGAACGCUGGCGGCGUGCUUAACACAUGCAAGUCGAACGGAAAGGCCCAAGCUUGCUUGGGUACUCGAGUGGCGAACGGGUGAGUAACACGUGGGUGAUCUGCCCCGCACUUCGGGAUAAGCCUGGGAAACUGGGGCUAAUACCGGAUAGGACCACUUCUUGGAGGGUGGGGUUGAAAGUUUUUUCGGUGUGGGAUGAGCUCGCGGCCUAUCAGCUUGUUGGUGGGGUAAUGGCCUACCAAGGCGUCGACGGGUAGCCGGCCUGAGAGGGUGUACGGCCACAUUGGGACUGAGAUACGGCCCAGACUCCUACGGGAGGCAGCAGUGGGGAAUAUUGCACAAUGGGCGCAAGCCUGAUGCAGCGACGCCGCGUGGGGGAUGACGGCCUUCGGGUUGUAAACUCCUUUCGCUAGGGACGAAGCGCAAGUGACGGUACCUAGAGAAGAAGCACCGGCUAACUACGUG